GACGAACGCUGGCGGCGCGCCUAACACAUGCAAGUCGAACGAGCGAUAGAGAGCUUGCUUUCUCGAGCGAGUGGCGAACGGGUGAGUAACGCGUGAGGAACCUGCCUCAAAGAGGGGGACAACAGUUGGAAACGACUGCUAAUACCGCAUAAGCCCACGGCUCGGCAUCGAGCAGGGGGAAAAGGAGCAAUCCGCGUUGAGAUGGCCUCGCGUCCGAUUAGCUAGUUGGUGAGGUAACGGCCCACCAAGGCAACGAUCGGUAGCCGGACUGAGAGGUUGAACGGCCACAUUGGGACUGAGACACGGCCCAGACUCCUACGGGAGGCAGCAGUGGGGAAUAUUGCACAAUGGGGGAAACCCUGAUGCAGCGACGCCGCGUGGAGGAAGAAGGUCUUCGGAUUGUAAACUCCUGUUGUUGGGGAAGAUAAUGACGGUACCCAACAAGGAAGUGACGGCUAACUACGUG
RNAcentral lists this ribosomal RNA (466 nucleotides) under uncultured bacterium. RNAcentral describes it as "partial 16S ribosomal RNA". It matches the Rfam family "Bacterial small subunit ribosomal RNA", at positions 28 to 507 of the family's 1533-position model. The record is from RNAcentral.